AGCGAACGGACGAGGAGCUUGCUCCUUUGAAGUUAGCGGCGGACGGGUGAGUAACACGUGGGUAACCUACCUAUAAGACUGGAAUAACUCCGGGAAACCGGGGCUAAUGCCGGAUAACAUGUUGAACCGCAUGGUUCAACAGUGAAAGACGGUCUUGCUGUCACUUAUAGAUGGACCCGCGCCGUAUUAGCUAGUUGGUGGGGUAACGGCCUACCAAGGCGACGAUACGUAGCCGACCUGAGAGGGUGAUCGGCCACACUGGAACUGAGACACGGUCCAGACUCCUACGGGAGGCAGCAGUAGGGAAUCUUCCGCAAUGGGCGAAAGCCUGACGGAGCAACGCCGCGUGAGUGAUGAAGGUCUUCGGAUCGUAAAGCUCUGUUGUUAGGGAAGAACAAAUGUGUAAGUAACUGUGCACGUCUUGACGGUACCUAACCAGAAAGCCACGGCUAACUACGUGCCAGCAGCCGCGGUAAUACGUAGGUGGCAAGCGUUAUCCGGAAUUAUUGGGCGUAAAGCGCGCGUAGGCGGUUUUUUAAGUCUGAUGUGAAAGCCCACGGCUCAACCGUGGAGGGUCAUUGGAAACUGGAAAACUUGAGUGCAGAAGAGGAAAGUGGAAUUCCAUGUGUAGCGGUGAAAUGCGCAGAGAUAUGGAGGAACACCAGUGGCGAAGGCGGCUUUCUGGUCUGCAACUGACGCUGAUGUGCGAAAGCGUGGGGAUCAACAGGAUU
Molecule: ribosomal RNA, 731 nt
Filed under: Staphylococcus sp. HFH0025
Lineage: Bacteria; Bacillati; Bacillota; Bacilli; Caryophanales; Staphylococcaceae
Description: bacterial SSU rRNA
Rfam family: Bacterial small subunit ribosomal RNA
Source: RNAcentral